This 107-nucleotide small nucleolar RNA is filed under the name Gossypium arboreum. Its description in RNAcentral is "Plant small nucleolar RNA R71". It matches the Rfam family "Plant small nucleolar RNA R71". Rfam says of the family: R71 is a member of the C/D box family of snoRNAs containing the C (UGAUGA) and D (CUGA) box motifs. The record is from Rfam by way of RNAcentral. Lineage: Eukaryota; Viridiplantae; Streptophyta; Magnoliopsida; Malvales; Malvaceae.
AACCCAUGGUGAGGGCACCUUCUCAAUAGAUCCUUGCAUCUCUCCUAUGCAUUGUAGAGUGUUUCUAGAUCCAUCUAUACAAAAGAAGAGAUAUGAUUUCUUAAUUU